GCCAGGCAUGGUGGCACAUGCCUGUAGUCCCAGCUACUCAGGAGGCUGAGGCAGGAGAAUCGCUUGAAUCCGGGAGGUGUAGGCUGCAGUGAGCUGAGAUUGUGCCACUGCACUCCAGCCUGGGUGACAGAGCGAGACUCCGUCUCAA
Molecule: unclassified non-coding RNA, 148 nt
Organism: Macaca fascicularis (crab-eating macaque)
Lineage: Eukaryota; Metazoa; Chordata; Mammalia; Primates; Cercopithecidae
Rfam family: Metazoan signal recognition particle RNA
About the family: The signal recognition particle (SRP) is a universally conserved ribonucleoprotein. It is involved in the co-translational targeting of proteins to membranes.
Source: Ensembl